RNAcentral lists this ribosomal RNA (433 nucleotides) under uncultured bacterium. RNAcentral describes it as "partial 16S ribosomal RNA". It matches the Rfam family "Bacterial small subunit ribosomal RNA", at positions 29 to 507 of the family's 1533-position model. The record is from RNAcentral.
AACGAACGCUGGCGGCAGGCCUAACACAUGCAAGUCGAGCGCGCCCUUCGGGGUGAGCGGCGGACGGGUGAGUAACGCGUGGGAACGUGCCCUUUUCUACAGAAUAGCCUCGGGAAACUGAGAGUAAUACCGUAUACGCCCUUUGGGGGAAAGAUUUAUCGGAAAAGGAUCGGCCCGCGUUGGAUUAGGUAGUUGGUGGGGUAAUGGCCUACCAAGCCGACGAUCCAUAGCUGGUUUGAGAGGAUGAUCAGCCACACUGGGACUGAGACACGGCCCAGACUCCUACGGGAGGCAGCAGUGGGGAAUCUUAGACAAUGGGGGCAACCCUGAUCUAGCCAUGCCGCGUGAGUGAUGAAGGCCUUAGGGUUGUAAAGCUCUUUCAGCUGGGAAGAUAAUGACGGUACCAGCAGAAGAAGCCCCGGCUAACUCCGUG